Molecule: long non-coding RNA, 376 nt
Filed under: Salmo salar (Atlantic salmon)
Lineage: Eukaryota; Metazoa; Chordata; Actinopteri; Salmoniformes; Salmonidae
Description: lncRNA (ENSSSAG00000097877.1)
Source: RNAcentral
UAGGCCUAGAUAUUCCUUUAUAAAAUAUAUAGGCCUAGGUAUUCCUUUAUAAAAUAUAUAGGCCUAGGUAUUCCUUUAUAAACAUAUAGGCCUAGGUAUUCCUUUAUAAACAUAUAGGCCUAGGUAUUCCUUUAUAAAAUAUAUAGCCCUAGGUAUUCCUUUAUAAAAUAUAUAGGCCUAGAUAUUCCUUUAUAAACAUAUAGGCCUAGGUAUUCCUUUAUAAAUAUAUAGGCCUAGGUAUUCCUUUAUAAAAUAUAUAGGCCUAGAUAUUCCUUUAUAAACAUAUAGGCCUAGGUAUUCCUUUAUAAAAUAUAUAGGCCUAGGUAUUCCUUUAUAAAAUAUAUAGGCCUAGAUAUUCCUUUAUAAACAUAUAGGC